Molecule: long non-coding RNA, 9665 nt
Filed under: Salmo salar (Atlantic salmon)
Lineage: Eukaryota; Metazoa; Chordata; Actinopteri; Salmoniformes; Salmonidae
Description: lncRNA (ENSSSAG00000100482.1)
Source: RNAcentral
AUUUAUUCCUUCACCUGGUAAAUUUGGGGAAAAGGGGCUGGACGGAACCAAAGCAAAGAAAGUAAAAGUUAGAGCCCCCUCUCUUAACUUACCUGCCUACCCACUACUUACCUAAUAUUUCAGCAACACCUGGUGCGCUAACCAAAAUACAGGGGGUGGUCCACCUAGGUCUUACCUAGUGUGCACAGACAGUAAAUACUACGGUUAUGUAUGCCCACAGGCCUCUUGCCUAAGCAUUCCCUCGGUGCCUUCCCCUUCCCCCCUGGGAACAAAUGAAAAAGAAUACAAACAUAAGUAAACCAUUUCAAUAAUCAAAAACACUGCCUCCUAUGGGGACACACAUACCUUAGAAGCAGCGGCUACAAAAUACUUAACAAAAACCUGUCUCUGAGCAACAACCAACACAGGACAUAACCAUCAGCUCCCUCUCAGCAACAACCAACACAGGACAUACUAAUAAGCGCUCUGUCUGCGCAACAAACACAGAUCAUAACCAUCAGCUUUCUCUCAGCAAAGGAACACUGUUUUUUCUAGCUGGAGAAGGAGUCUGUAAUGGGAUACAGCUGUAUCCUCUGAUGAGAGGGCGGGGUCAGCUCCAAUUAACAUUGGGGCUGACCAAUCAGCUGCUUGGGGGAAUCCAGGAAGCCAUUUCCUGAAACACACACAUACAAACAAAACCACAACACAGAAACUGGGGAACGUAACACACCUUUUCAUGAUCUGUAGGCAUCACGAGAAAAUGUGUUCGAGAGCCUUUAUGGACGAAAGAAAAAGAAAAGUGAUUUGAUGAAUUCUGAAAAUUGCCACAUUCAGUUCUUCAACCCAUGGUAAUGUUGGUAGAUUAGUGUACAUAGAAUUAAAAAAGGGAGAAUAGUUUACAAUACCCUGGUCUAUUGCCCGCAUGGAACUAUGUGACCAUGGAAUUAUGAUGACAAGGUCAAGUAUUGCGCCAAGGUUGGCAGCCGUCGCAGUGGGAUGCACUGCUGCAGAGGAAGAAAAAAACAGUCAAUGUGCUGCUGUUUAUGCUGUUAUGAGUUCAAUUAAAGUUCAAGAACAGACUACUGUAAAUGGAGGAGCAAAACCCAGCUUUGCCAUAUUGGACCUCUUUCAAGCCCCAUUUGAUGGCAACGUUGAGAGCCUUACCUGCAUGUGAGUCGGCUCUUACGAUUCAUUCCCUCUUGACCCUCAAAUACUCUGAGCUCCUCUGGAGUCAAGAUCCCAGGACAUCAAAGAGAAAAGUCUUACUUCAUGUCAGACACACACAUACAAACCCCACUAUGACAAUUUACACACAAUGGGACGAUCUGAAGGGCACCAUUCUGUGCUGUUCUCCUCAUUCCGGUUUGGAUGGGAAUUUACAUAAAAUGCAUUGUCAUGUGCAACUGCACAAUUUCAAGCAAUGACAGUCUACCAGAGAGAGAUGGAGGGAAAACAAGUAGGAGAAAAUUAGAUGGAUAAAGGUGAAGUGGUGAAACAGAAUGGCUGUUAAAACAGUGAAAUAGACAAUAGAACUAAUAGGCGCUGGCAGGGUGAAAAAUGCCCUAAAAUAAGGCCUGUUUUUUGCUAUUACUGAAACUAUGGCAAGCAGCUGGGACAUAUGGUGAUAUUAUGAAACGGGUCUCCAAGGCGGAUGCAAUUAACUAGUUUUCAUCGGAAAAAAAGUAUUGUUAAAAAUGUAAUGUGUCCAGCCUACCUAUGGAGAUAAAUGUUUUCGAGUUGGCUAGCUAACAUCAUGCACAAAACAAAUUAUGCUAACCUUAGCAACAUUGCUAGUUAACGUUCCAAGUUGCGCCUUCAAAGUAGAAGUUCUGAUCUUUCUGGAUCACGGAGAAAACUCAGUUUUCGUUGCGACUGAGGCUGAGCAUCUCCAAAGCAGAACAACCUCCUAUGUUUGUUUACUUUUUGUAUUGUCAUCAUCAAAUGGCUAAAUUAUCCACCAAGAUGCGAUAAAUACAAAUUUGGCUCACCAGAAACAAACAGUAAACAACAAACCAACAACCAUCCCACUUUGAGGUGCGGAACUUAACGGUCUGCGCAAUUUGAUACGCGCUAGUAGUAUUGUGCAGUCAUGGGACCAGCUCAUCGCGAAGUCGUUACUAGUUACCACAUCCACAAAGUCAUAAUUAUAUCUAAACCCCACCUAUUUGUACACUUUUUCUACUUAAAAUCGUAUUUUAAUCCUAUCCUUAACCACACUGCUAACCUUAGGCAUAACCCUAAAUUAAGACCAACAAACACAUUUUGGUUUUCUUUCAUAUAGCCUAGUUUUACUUUGUGGCUGUCGUAACUAGUGACAACCCAUCACGAGCUCCAAAAGUAAAAAUGUCCGUAAUACUGUGGCUGUUUUAUAACUAAUUAAGGAUUAAUUGAACGAAAAGGUGUUACAUUUGGUGUUGUCCCUGCUGCUGGGAGCGUCGAGGACUAUUGGGGAACCUGAAGCAGAUACAAUAAAGUUCCUCCCUGGGCUUCAAAAGCAGCCUAACUUCAAACAGUACUCAGGAUACUUCAAUGUGGCUGACAACAAACCACCUCACUACUGGUGAGUUGCUAACGUUAGCUGGGGUCAUUCCUACAAUGCUGAGCCUUUUCUAUCCCCAGGAAAUAUCACUUCUUAUUUAGUGUAAAAUGUUGAUUCCAAAAGGCUUUAAAUAUAAGGUCAAUAUAAGGUUAGGAGUCCUUUACCUUAAAAACACAAAAAUAUGCAUCUUGAAAGGAUGUUUUAUGCGUUUUGAACACAUUUUCAGUGGAUGUAGGCAUUUUUUCCAUGGCCCCUGAUGUUAUUCAUCAACUUCCACAAGAAAUAUAAGCCAUUAUAAUAACAUUUUAAAUCUUCAUUAUUUUCUAGUCCUAUUUAUAUUUUCUCUUGUUAAUAACGCUUUAUUCAUGAUUAUUUUAUUUAAGAUUUUCGGUGUGUCCCUGAUAACACUUUUCACCCUGUUAACGUCAGUUUGUUGUAAUUCUCAAUUUAAAGAAAACAACCCUUUCCUACAAUGGCAUUCAAUAAGCUUCGCAAUUUCUUUGGUGGGAAAACAUAUUAACACUCAGUUGUAUCUAUUUUUCCAUGUUUUAUGUUUUAUCUGGGUUCAAUCCCCGGCAUCUCCACUCUUUUUAGGGGCUCCAGAGUGGCGCAGUGGUCUAAGGCACAGCAUCUCAGUGCUAGAGGUGUCACUACAGACCCUGGUUCGAUUCCAGGCUGUAUGGGGAGUCCCAUAGGUUGGAGCACAAUUGGCCCAGCAUUGUCCGGGUUAGGGUUUGGCUGGGGUAGGCCGUCAUUUUAAAUAAUAAUUUGUUCUUAACUGACUUGCCUAGUUAAAUAAAGGUGAAAUCAUUUUUUUAUUUUUUUAUGUCCCACUCAUAAAUGUCCUCCCUGUUAGGCAACAUUAGUUGUAUAUAAAAUUUACAAUAUUUCAAAAUGUUAAAAUAUCCUGUUCAAGUGUUCACCAUUAUGACGCUCAAUCUUACUCACUCAAAGAGCUAUGGCUAAUUUAGGCUCCAAAAAAUGCACAAAUAAAAUUGCAAACAUCACCAAAACAUGGAGUUUCACAGAGCAACUAUCAUCAUUACUGCCGUUACGCAUGGUGUGUACUUCCAAGAAAUGGCUAAAUAAAAUCAAUGAUCUUUCGGGAUACUGUACUGCUGCUGGAUCAGCCUACCUGUGUGUAGCAAUAAUAAUGAGUGAUUUUAUUGGCGAUACCGAAUGUUGAUUUGGCUCAAGCGCACCUGGUCAGAAACAAUAGAUCAUUUUAUUUAGACCUUUUUUUGGAAGUACAUACCCUGCGUAAUGGCAGUAUUGACUGUAGUUGCUCUGUGAAACUACAUAUUUUUGUGAGUACCAAAUGUAUUUUGACAUUAUAACAAUUGCAGAGCUGGUUAAUGGGACUUUGAAUUGAAGGAUUAUGGGCAUCAGAGGAGAUCUCUUCUCCUGUGUUUGGUGCUGACAGAGAAGGACGCCUCGCUUCGCGUUCUUAGGAAACUAUGCAGUAUUACCCCAGGAAAUCUUAAGUCUAAUUACAUACAGCCGGGGGCAACUAUUGGAUAUAAGAGCAACGUCAACUUACCAACAUUACGACCAGGAAUACGACUUUCCCGAAGUGGAUCCUCUGCUUGGACCACCACCCAGGACAAUGGAUCGGAUCCCAGUAGGCGACCCAAAACAACGACGGAGCGGUCUUCUGGUCAGGCUCCAUAGACGGGCACGUCGCUCACCGCUCCCGAGUAUACUACUCGCCAAUGUCCAGUCUCUUGACAAUAAGGUAAACAAAAUUCAAGCAAGGGUUGCCUUCCAGAGAGACAUCAGAGAUUGUUACAUUCUCUGUUUCACGGAAACAUGGCUCACUCGGUAUACGUUAUCAGAGUCGGUACAACCACCCGGUUUCUUCACGCAUCGCGCCGACAGAAACAAUCAUCUCUCUGGUAAGAAGAAGGGCGGGGGUGUAUGCCUUAUGAUUAACGAGUUGUGGUGUGAUCAUAACAACAUACAGGAACUCAAGUCAUUUUGUUCACCUGACCUAGAAUUCCUUACGAUCAAAUGCCGACCGCAUUUUCUACCAAGAGAAUUCUCUUCGAUUAUAAUCACAGCCGUGUAUACUCCCCCCCCAAGCAGACACCUCGGCCCUGAAAGAACUUCAUUGGACUCUAUGUAAACUGGAAACAACAUAUCCUGAGGCUGCAUUUAUUGUAGCUGGGGAUUUUAACAAAGCUAAUCUGAAAACAAGGCUCCCUAAAUUUUAUCAGCAUAUUGAAUGCACGACCCGGGCUGGCAGCAUUCUGGAUCACUGCUACUCUAACUUCCACAAUGCAUACAAAGCCCUCUCUCGCCCUCCUUUCGGCAAAUCUGACCACGACUCCAUUUUGUUACUCCCAGCCUAUAGACAGAAACUAAAACAGGAAACGCCCGUGCUCAGGUCUGUUCAACGCUAGUCCGACCAAUCUGAUUCCACGCUUCAAGAUUGCUUGGAUCACGUGGACUGGGAUAUGUUCCGGAUAACCUCAGACAACAACAUUGAUGUAUACACUGAUUCGGUGAGCGAGUUUAUUAGCAAGUGCAUCGGUGAUGUUGUACCCAUGGUGACUAUUAAAACCUUCCCCAACCAGAAACUGUGGAUUGAUGGCAGCAUUUGCGCAAAAGUGAAAGUGCGAACCACUGCUUUUAAUCAUGGCAAGGCGACCGGAAACAUGAUCGAAUUCAAACAGUGUAGCUAUUCCUUCCUCAAGGCAAUCAAACAGGCUAAGCAUCAGUAUAGAGACAAAGCAGAGUCGCAAUUCAACGGCUCAGACACGAGACAUAUGUGGCAGGGUCUACAGUCAAUCACGGAUUACAAAAAGAAAACCAGCCCCGUUGCAGACACCGACGUCUUGCUCCCAGACAAACUAAACAACUUCUUUGCUCGCUUUAAGGACAAUACAGUGCCACUGACAUGGCCCACUAACAAAACUUGCGGCUGUCCUUCACCGCAGCCAACCUGAGUAAAAUAUUUAAACGUGUUAACCCUCACAAGGCAUCCCUAGCCGUGUCCUCAGAGUAUGUGCAGACCAACUGGCUGGCGUGUUUACGGACAUAUUCAAUCAAUCCCUAUCCCAGUCUGCUGUUCCCACAUGCUUCAAGAGGGAAACCAUUGUUCCUGUUCCCAAGAAAGCUAAGGUAACUGAGCUAAAUGACUAUCGCCCCGUAGCACUCACUUCCGUCAUCAUGAAGUGCUUUGAGAGACUAGUCAAGGAUCAUAUCACCUCCACCCUACUGGACACCCUAGACCCACUCCAAUUUGCUUACCGCCCCAAUAGAGCCACAGACGACGCAAUCACACUGCACACUGCCCUAACCCAUCUGGACAAGAGGAAUACCUAUGUAAGAAUGCUGUUCAUCGAUUACAGCUCAGCAUUUAACACCAUAGUACCCUCCAAACUUGUCAUUAAGCUUGAGACCCUGGGUCUCGACCCCGCCCUGUGCAACUGAGUCCUGGCCUUUCUGACAGGCCGCCCCAGGUGGUGAGGGUAGGAAACAACAUCUCCACCCCGCUGAUCCUCAACACUGGGGCCCCACAAGGGAGCGUUCUCAGCCCUCUCCUGUACUCCCUGUUCACCCAUGACUGCGUGGCCAUGCACGCCUCCCAACUCAAUCAUCAAGUUUUCAGAUGACACUACAGUGGUGGGCUUGAUUACCACCAACAACGACGAGACGGCCUACAGGGAGGAGGUGAGGGCCCUCGGAGUGUGGUGUCAGGAAAAUAACCUCACACUCAACGUCAACAAAAGAUGAUCGUGGACUUCAGGAAACAGCAGAGGGAGCCCCCCCCCACCCCCCAUUCCACAUCGAUGGGACAGUAGUGAAGAAGGUGGAAAGUUUUAAGUUCGUCGGCGUACACAUCACGGAUAAACUGAAAUGGUCCACCCACACAGACAGCGUGGUGAAGAAGGCGCAACAGCGGCUCUUCAACCUCAGGAGGCUGAAGAAAUUUGGCUUGUCACCGAAAACACUCGCAAACUUUUACAGAUGCACAAAUGAGAACAUCCUGUCAGGCUGUAUCACCGCCUGGUACGGCAACUGCUCCGCCCACAACCGUAAGGCUCUCCAGAGUAGAGGUCGACCGAUUAAUCGGAAUUGCCGAUUUUAAUUAUGGCCGAUUUGAAGUUUUCAUAACAAUCGGUAAUCGGAAUUUUUGGCCACCUAUUUGCCGAUUUGUAAUUAAAUGUUUUUAUUUAUUAUUAUAAUUUUUUUAAUAAAUAUUUUUUAACUAGGCAAGUCAGUUAAGAACACAUUCUUAUUUUCAAUGACGGCCUAGGAACGGUGGGUUAACUGCCUUGUUCAGGGGCAGAACGACAGAUUUUUACCUUGUCAGCUUGGGGAUUCAAUCUUGCAACCUUACGGUUAACUAGUCCAACGCUCUAACCAUCUGCUUUAUAUUGCACUCCAUGAGGAGCCUGCCUGUCACGCGAAUGCAGUAAGAAGCCAAGGUAAGUUGCUAGCUAGCAUUAAACUUAUCUUAUAAAAAACAAUCAAUCAAUCAUAAUCACUAGUUAACUACACAUGGUUGAGGAUAUUACUAGUUUAUCUAGCCUGUCCUGCAUUGCAUAUAAUCGAUGCGGUGCGCAUUCGCGUAAAAGGACUGUCGUUGCUCCAACUUGUACCUAACCAUAAACAUCAAUGUCUUUCUUAAAAUCAAUACACAAGUAUAUAUUUUUAAACCUGUAUAUUUAGUUAAUAUUGCCUGCUAACAUUAAUUUCUUUAACUAGGGAAAAUGUGUCACCUCUGCAACAGAGUCAGGGUAUAUGCAGCAGUUUGGGCCGCCUGGCUCGUUGCGAACUAAUUUGCCAGAAUUUUACGUAAUUAUGACAUAACAUUGAAGGUUUUGCAAUGUAACAGGAAUAUUUAGACUUAUGGAUGCCACCCGUUAGAUAAAAUACGGAACGGUUCCGUAUUUCACUGAAAUAAUAAAUGUGAUAGUUUCUGGAUUCUACCAUAUUAAUGACCUAAGGCUCGUGUUUCUGUGUGUUAUUAUGUUAUAAUUAAGUCUAUGAUUUGAUAGAGCAGUCUGACUGAGCGAUGGUAGGCACCAGCAGGCUCGUAAGCAUUCAAUCAAACAGCACUUUAGUGCGUUUUGCCAGCAGCUCUUCGCAAUGCAUUGCACUGUUUAUGACUUCAAGCCUAUCAACUCCCAAGAUUAGACUGGUGUAACUGAUAUGAAGUGGCUAGCUAGUUAGCCGGGUGCGUGCUAAUAGCGUUUCAAACGUCACUCGCUCUGAGACUUGGAGUAAUUGUUCCCCUUGCUCUGCAUGGAUAACGCUGCUUCGAGGGUGGCUGUUGUCGAUGUGUUCCUGAUUUGAACCCAGGUAGGAGCGAGGAGAGUGACGGAAGCUAUACUAUUACACUGGCAAUACUAAAGUGCCUAUAAGAACAUCCAAUAGUCAAAGGUAUAUGAAAUACAAAUCGUAUAGAGAGAAAUAGUCCUAUAAUUCCGAAAAUAACUACAACCUAAAACUUCUUACCUGGGAAUAUUGAAGACUCAUGUUAAAAGGAACCACCAGCUUUCAUAUGUUCUCAUGUUCUGAGCAAGGAACUUAAACGUUAGCUUUCUUACAUGGCACAUAAUGCACUUUUACUUCCUUCUCCAACACUUUGUUUUUGCAUUAUUUAAACCAAAUUGAACAUGUUUCAUUAUUUAUUUGAGGCUAAAUUGAUUUUAUUGAUGUAUUAUAUUCAGUUAAAAUAAGUGUUCAUUCAGUAUUGUUGUAAUUGUCAUUAUUACAAAUACAUUUUAAAAAAUCAGCCGAUUAAUCGGUAGCGGCUUUUUUUGGUCCUCCAAUAAUCGGUAUCGGCGUUGAAAAAUCAUAAUCGGUCGACCUCUACUCCAGAGGGUAGUGAAGUCUGCACAACGCAUCACCGUGGGCAAACUACCUGCCCUCCAGGACACCUACACCAUGUCACAGGAAUGCCAAAAAGAUCAUCAAGGACAACAACCACCCAAGCCACUGCCUGUUCACCCCGCUAUCAUCCAGAAGGCGAGGUCAGUACAGGUGCAUCAAAGCUGGGACCGAGAGACUGAAAAACAGCUUCUAGCUCAAGGCCAUCAGACUGUUAAACAGCCGUCACUAACAUUGACUGGCUGCUGCCAACAUACUGACUCAAAUCUCUAGCCACUUUAAUAAUAACAAAUUGGAUGUAAUAAAUGUAUCACUAGUCACUUUAUUACAAUGCCACUUUAUAUAAUGUUUACAUACCCUACAUUACUCAUCUCAUGUAUAUACUGUACUCGAUACCACCUACUGCAUCUCGCCUAUGCCGCAAGGCCAUCAUCAUCCAUAUGUACAUAUUCUUAUUAAUUCCUUUACACUUGUCUGUAUAAGGGAGUUGUGAAAUUGUUAGAUUACUUGUUAGAUAUUACUGCACGGUCGGAACUAGAAGCACAAGCAUUUCGCUACACUCGCAUUAACAUCUGCUAACCAUGUGUAUGUGACCAAUAACAUUUGAUUUGAAGCGUUUCGUUAGCUUGAUCCCAGAUAUGUUUAUGCCAUUUUGUCAACCAUAGGAGUUGGCUGUCUGUACAGCACCAACUGAUCUGCGACCAGGGCUAGUGUUUUGUUGUCCUAGCCUAGGAGUUUUGUAUGGCGUCUGCUUUGGGUGUUUGAUCAUGCUGUGAUAAGACAUGCUGCUGUACACUGACAGAUGAAUUUUAAGUAUAAAGGCCAUUGUGUGAUUAGAUAUUUGUAGAUGGGAGAAAUACGAUCAAGAUUUUUCAUUCACCAUCACAUUGAUUUCAGCUUCUUGCACUUGUUGAUUGUAUGUAUUCAGUGUUCGAUGGUACACAAGGCAAUUGUGUGGUUCAUCCACUAUGGGGUGAAUCCUAACUUGCUCUUAAGUAAAAAAAUGUGUUUGUCUCCCAUUGACAUCAAUGCAUAACUACGUGGAAGUUAGGAUUUGCCCCAAAGUAAUUGCCUUAAAUAGCAGUCUAUGUACUCAAAGGGAUCUGUUCACUGUCAGGAAUUGUGUUUUGAAAAGGAACAAAUGCUUCUAGAUGCACAGUAAUUCAAUUAUAUAAUAAUAAACGGCAGUUAUGUGCCUCAUCACAGAAAUGAAUACUUGGAACCACUUUGAUAAAAAGGGAAUGUGUCAAUUCUUCAGCUGUAUUCACAUUGAUUCUGUCAUGAUUUUAUAAUAAAACUGUUCUUU